This 510-nucleotide ribosomal RNA is filed under the name uncultured bacterium. RNAcentral's name for it is "partial 16S ribosomal RNA". It matches the Rfam family "Bacterial small subunit ribosomal RNA", at positions 28 to 507 of the family's 1533-position model. The record is from RNAcentral.
GACGAACGCUGGCGGCGUGCUUAACACAUGCAAGUCGAACGAAGAGCGAUGGAAGCUUGCUUCUAUCAAUCUUAGUGGCGCACGGGUGAGUAACGCGUAAUCAACCUGCCCUUCAGAGGGGGACAACAGUUGGAAACGACUGCUAAUACCGCAUACGAUCCGACCUCGGCAUCGAGGAUGGAUGAAAGGUGGCCUCUAUUUAUAAGCUAUCACUGAAGGAGGGGAUUGCGUCUGAUUAGCUAGUUGGGGGGGUAACGGCCCACCAAGGCAAUGAUCAGUAGCCGGUCAGAGAGGAUGAACGGCCACAUUGAGACUGAGACACGGCCCAGACUCCUACGGGAGGCAGCAGUGGGGAAUCUUCCGCGAUGGACGAAAGUCUGACGGAGCAACGCCGCGUGAGUGAUGACGGCCUUCGGGUUGUAAAGCUCUGUUAAUCGGGACGAAAGGUCUUCUUGCGAAUAGGUAGAAGAAUUGACGGUACCGGAAUAGAAAGCCACGGCUAACUACGUG